CGGCCUACGGGGGGCAGCAGUGGGGGAUAUUGCACAAUGGGGGAAACCCUGAUGCAGCGACGCCGCGUGUGGGAAGACGGUCCUCUGGAUUGUAAACCACUGUCCCCAGGGACGAAAAUGACGGUACCUGGGGAGGAAGCUCCGGCUAACUACGUGCCAGCAGCCGCGGUAAUACGUAGGUGGCGAGCGUUGUCCGGAAUAACUGGGCGUAAAGGGAGCGUAGAUUGCGAUUUAAGUUAGAUGUGAAAGCCCAGGGCUCAACCCUGGAACUGCAUUUAAAACUGGAUUGCUAGAGUACAGGAGGG
RNAcentral lists this ribosomal RNA (305 nucleotides) under uncultured bacterium. RNAcentral's name for it is "bacterial SSU rRNA". It matches the Rfam family "Bacterial small subunit ribosomal RNA", at positions 332 to 656 of the family's 1533-position model. The record is from RNAcentral.